This 2799-nucleotide ribosomal RNA is filed under the name Deminuibacter soli. Its description in RNAcentral is "bacterial LSU rRNA". It matches the Rfam family "Bacterial large subunit ribosomal RNA". The record is from RNAcentral. Lineage: Bacteria; Pseudomonadati; Bacteroidota; Chitinophagia; Chitinophagales; Chitinophagaceae.
UUAAAGCGAAUAAGGGCGCAUGGUGGAUGCCUAGGGUCUGAGAGGCGAAGAAGGACGUGGUAAGCUGCGAUAAGGCAGGGGGAGCUGCACACAAGCGUAAUAUCCCUGCAUUUCCGAAUGGGACAACCCGCUAUACUGAAGGUAUAGCACUCGAAAGAGAGCCAACCCGGAGAACUGAAACAUCUAAGUACCCGGAGGAAAAGAAAAUAACAAUGAUUCCCUAAGUAGUGGCGAGCGAACAGGGAAGAGCCCAAACCGUAUUUGCGUGCAGAUACGGGGUUGUAGGACUGCAUUUAGAAAGCGUUAUCAAGCUGAAGUCUCUGGAAAGUGACACCAUAGCAGGUGAAAGUCCUGUAAGCAUAAAUUAACGUAGACGAGCAGUAUCCUGAGUAGCGCGGGACCGGAGGAAUCUUGCGUGAAACUGCCAGCACCAUCUGGUAAGGCUAAAUACUCCUCAGACACCGAUAGUGAACCAGUACCGUAAGGGAAAGGUGAAAAGCACCCCGAACAGGGGAGUGAAAUAGUACCUGAAACCGUGCGCCUACAAGCGGUCGGAGCAACGCAAGUUGUGACGGCGUGCCUUUUGCAUAAUGAGCCUACGAGUUGCUCCUCACUGGCGAGGUUAAGUUCAUCUUUAACGGAGCCGCAGCGAAAGCGAGUCCGAACAGGGCGACUAGUCAGUGGGGGCAGACGCGAAACUUUGUGAUCUAUCCAUGGGCAGGUUGAAGUUCUGGUAACACAGAAUGGAGGACCGAACCCGUUAACGUUGAAAAGUUCUGGGAUGACCUGUGGAUAGGGGUGAAAGGCCAAUCAAACUGAGAGAUAGCUCGUUCUCCCCGAAAUGUUUUUAGGAACAGCCUCGGAUAAUAGAAGUAUGAUAGAGGUAGAGCUACUGAUUGGGCUAGGGGGCUUCACCGCCUACCAAACCCUGACAAACUCCGAAUACUAUCAUAUAUCUCCGGGAGUGAGGCUGCGGGCGCUAAGGUCCGUGGCCGAGAGGGAAAUAACCCAGAUUAGCAACUAAGGUCCCUAAUACAUAGUUAAGUUGAUCAAACGAGGUGGGACUUCAAUAACAGCCAGGAUGUUGGCUUGGAAGCAGCCAUUCAUUUAAAGAGUGCGUAACAGCUCACUGGUCGAGAGGUCCUGCACGGAAAAUAAUCGGGCAUCAAACUAUGAACCGAAGUUCUAAAAUUGUACUUGUACAAUUGGUAGGGGAGCAUUGAAACGACCUCGAAGCUGACAGGCGACUGUUGGUGGAGUUGUUUCAAAAGAAAAUGUAGGCAUAAGUAACGAUAAGAAAAGUGAAAAACUUUUCCGCCGAAAGUCUAAGGGUUCCUGAUCAACGUUAAUCGGAUCAGGGUUAGUCUGGUCCUUAGGAAAACCCGAAAGGGGCAUCUGAUGGAAAGAAGGUUAAUAUUCCUUCACCUGCACACGAUAAAAGUGACGCAUGGACGUGGUUGUUGCGUACUGACGGAAUAGUGCGCCUGAGCGGAACCUUCGGGGGAAGCGAAACAAUAAAAUCCGUGCCGAGAAAAGCGAGUGAUGCAGCCAGUACCGCAAACCGACACAGGUAGACGGGAUGAGUAUUCUAAGGCGCUCGGGUGAGCCGUGGAGAAGGAACUAGGCAAAUUAACGCUGUAACUUCGGGAUAAAGCGUACCGCAGUGAUGCGGUCUCAGUAAAAUGGUUCAACCAACUGUUUAACAAAAACACAGGGCCCUGCAAAAUCGAAAGAUGACGUAUAGAGCCUGAAACCUGCCCGGUGCUGGAAGGUUAAGGAAGGAUGUUCGGCGCAAGCCAAAGCUUCUGACUGAAGCCCCAGUAAACGGCGGCCGUAACUAUAACGGUCCUAAGGUAGCGAAAUUCCUUGUCGGGUAAGUUCCGACCUGCACGAAUGGUCUAAUGAGUUGAACACUGUCUCCUCCACGAGCCCGGUGAAAUUGUAGUAUCGGUGAAGAUGCCGGUUACCCGCCACGGGACGGAAAGACCCCGUGAACCUUCACUACAACUUUGCAUUGAUUUUGAGCACCAAAUGUGUAGGAUAGUUGGGAGACUAUGAAGCAGUGUCGCCAGGCAUUGUGGAGUCAACGUUGAAAUACCAACCUUUUGUUGCUUAGAACCUAACCUUGAAAAAAGGGACAUUGCAUGGUGGGUAGUUUGACUGGGGUGGUCGCCUCCUAAAAAGUAACGGAGGCUCGCAAAGGUACCCUCAAUACGGUUGGUAAUCGUAUAUAGAGCGCAUUAGUAAAAGGGUGCUUGACUGUGAGACAGACACGUCGAGCAGGAGCGAAAGCUGGCUAAAGUGAUCCGGUGGUUCUGCAUGGAAGGGCCAUCGCUCAAAGGAUAAAAGGUACUCCGGGGAUAACAGGCUGAUCUUACCCAAGAGCUCAUAUCGACGGUAAGGUUUGGCACCUCGAUGUCGGUUCGUCACAUCCUGGGGCUGGAGAAGGUCCCAAGGGUUCGGCUGUUCGCCGAUUAAAGUGGCACGUGAACUGGGUUCAGAACGUCGCAAGACAGUUCGGUCCCUAUCUGUGGUGGGCGCUAGGAAAUUGAGAGGACGUGACCUUAGUACGAGAGGACCGGGUCGCAUGUACCGCUGGUGAAUCAGUUAUGCCGCCAGGUGUAUUGCUGAGUAGCUAUGUACAGCAAGGAUAAACGCUGAAAGCAUCUAAGCGUGAAACCUACCUCAAGAUGAGUUUCCUUUUAAGGGUCGUCAGAGACGAUGACGUUGAUAGGCUACAGAUGUACAGAUGGUAACAUCAAAGUCGAGUAGUACUAAUUGCCCGUAAGCUUUAAUUUU